Molecule: ribosomal RNA, 253 nt
Filed under: uncultured bacterium
Lineage: Bacteria
Description: partial 16S ribosomal RNA
Rfam family: Bacterial small subunit ribosomal RNA
Source: RNAcentral
GACAGAGGGUGCAAACGUUGUUCGGAAUUACUGGGCGUAAAGCGCGUGUAGGCGGCUAAGUAAGUCGGGCGUGAAAUCCCACGGCUCAACCGUGGAAGUGCACUCGAAACUGCAUAGCUAGAGUCCUGGAGAGGAAGGUGGAAUGCUUGGUGUAGAGGUGAAAUUCGUAGAUAUCAAGCGGAACACCGGUGGCGAAGGCGGCCUUCUGGACAGUGACUGACGCUGAGACGCGAAAGCGUGGGGAGCGAACAGG